Molecule: small RNA, 127 nt
Filed under: Marmota monax (woodchuck)
Lineage: Eukaryota; Metazoa; Chordata; Mammalia; Rodentia; Sciuridae
Source: RNAcentral
GCCAGGCAAGGUGGCGCAUGCCUGUAAUCCCAGCAGCUUGGGAGACUGAGGCAGGAGAAUCUCAAGUUCAAAGCCAGUCUCAGCAAUUUAGCAAAGCCCUAAGCAACUUAGUGAGACCCUGUAUCUA